RNAcentral lists this ribosomal RNA (483 nucleotides) under uncultured bacterium. Its description in RNAcentral is "partial 16S ribosomal RNA". It matches the Rfam family "Bacterial small subunit ribosomal RNA", at positions 28 to 523 of the family's 1533-position model. The record is from RNAcentral.
GACGAACGCUGGCGGCGUGCUUAACACAUGCAAGUCGAACGAUGAACCCGGAGCUUGCUCCGGCGGAUUAGUGGCGAACGGGUGAGUAACACGUGAGUAACCUGCCCUUGACUCUGGGAUAACUGCUAGAAAUGGUAGCUAAUACCGGAUACGACCCUCGGUGGCAUCACCAGGGGGUGGAAAGAAUUUCGGUCAAGGAUGGACUCGCGGCCUAUCAGCUAGUUGGUGAGGUAACGGCUCACCAAGGCGACGACGGGUAGCCGGCCGGAGAGGGGGAGCGGCAACACUGGACGGAAACACGGCCCAGACGCCAGGGGGAGGCAGCAGUGGGGAAUGUUGCACAAUGGGCGAAAGCCUGAGGCAGCAACGCCGCGGGGGGGAGGACGGCCUUCGGGUUGUAACCCUCUUUUAGUAGGGAAGAAGCGAAAGGGAGGGUACCUGAAGAAAAAGCACCGGCUAACUACGUGCCAGCCGCCGCCGUAA